AGCUGAGCUAUCCCGACUAUUCUAGCGUAGUAAUCUUGAUUAUUUUAGUCGAUGGCUGGGGUAUAUGUCAAUUAAAGGGAAAUGGGGGAUUACAAAUUUUUAUCCAACUACUUAAAUUUUUUUUAUCUUAAAAAAGACUACUUUUAAGGUUUCAAUAUUCGUAAUAUUGAUUGUGAAUCAUUUCAAUCAGGAUUAUGUGCUAAAUUCGGAUGUGUAUUCUAUAUCACAUAGGAGAAUAGAAAGUCAUUUAGGCCCAACUACGGUUGUCAAAGAAGCAUAAAAAUCAAGCAAUUUGAAACCGAAAGGGAGAGGGUAGGAUAAAGAUUUCAGGAAUCAAAUAGUUUGUUGGGGAUAGACUUGACCUCACGAUUUUAAAAGUCAACGGAUUUUCUCUUACAUAAAUUCAUUGUUGCAGUAUUGACAUGUAGAAGGGGACUCUAUCUUUAUUCUUGUCCGAUUGAUCCAUUGGUUAAAAGUUUAUCGAACGAUGGAGUGAAUGAUUUGAUAAAAACAAAUUAGAUCUUUCCUUCAAUGGUGAAUGAAUUUACACCAACGCUUCUUCUUCUAUUUUUCAUAUAAAAAAAUAUAUCUAGAAAUUUCGGCCAUCAUUAAGCAUUUGCUAUGGUAUUCAAUAGAUAAGUUUAUCCUUUCAGACGCUUUUUUUGAUAGAAAGAUUCCUCUACCAGUGCCCCCAUUUGUUAGAACAGCUUCCAUUGAGUCUCUGGACCUAUCCUUGUUUUUUUUAACAAAACAGGAUUUGGCUCAGGAUUGCCCUUUUUUUAAUUCCGGGUUUCCCUGAAUUGAAGUUCUCACUUAGUAGGUUUCCAUAC
RNAcentral lists this unclassified non-coding RNA (830 nucleotides) under Utricularia purpureocaerulea. RNAcentral describes it as "partial contains tRNA-Leu (trnL) gene and trnL-trnF spacer region". Lineage: Eukaryota; Viridiplantae; Streptophyta; Magnoliopsida; Lamiales; Lentibulariaceae. The record is from RNAcentral.